This is a ribosomal RNA of 437 nucleotides. It matches the Rfam family "Bacterial small subunit ribosomal RNA", at positions 341 to 792 of the family's 1533-position model.
ACGGGAGGCAGCAGUGGGGAAUAUUGCACAAUGGGGGAAACCCUGAUGCAGCGAUGCCGCGUGAAGGAAGAAGGUCUUCGGAUUGUAAACUUCUUUUAUGAGGGACGAAGGACGUGACGGUACCUCAUGAAUAAGCCACGGCUAACUACGUGCCAGCAGCCGCGGUAAUACGUAGGUGGCAAGCGUUAUCCGGAUUUACUGGGUGUAAAGGGCGCGUAGGCGGGAAGGCAAGUCAGGUGUGAAAUCUAUGGGCUUAACCCAUAAACUGCAUUUGAAACUGUCUUUCUUGAGUGCUGGAGAGGUAGACGGAAUUCCUUGUGUAGCGGUGAAAUGCGUAGAUAUAAGGAAGAACACCAGUGGCGAAGGCGGUCUACUGGACAGCAACUGACGCUGAGGCGCGAAAGCGUGGGGAGCAAACAGGAUUAGAUACCCUGGUA